RNAcentral lists this ribosomal RNA (189 nucleotides) under Triticum aestivum (bread wheat). Its description in RNAcentral is "partial small subunit ribosomal RNA". Lineage: Eukaryota; Viridiplantae; Streptophyta; Magnoliopsida; Poales; Poaceae. The record is from RNAcentral.
GGGGACCCCCGGACAGUUCGUGAUAUCGCGGCUCUUGUGCAGUCGCAUUCCCCCAUGUUCGUGUUUUUGUGUGAAACAAGGCAAAAAGCAAGUAGAAUGAAGAGGAUUAGAGGUCGUCUGGGACUCCAAGGGUUUGAAGGAGUUGACAGUAAUGGGCUUAGCGGAGGUCUGGCCCUGUAUUGGCAUAAG